This is a long non-coding RNA of Hydra vulgaris (swiftwater hydra), 253 nucleotides long. RefSeq lists it as uncharacterized. Lineage: Eukaryota; Metazoa; Cnidaria; Hydrozoa; Anthoathecata; Hydridae. The record is from RefSeq and is a predicted model, not a curated record.
UUUAAUUGCCCAUUCUGUUCCUAUCUUCAGAAGUUAUUUAUACCUAUGCAAUACCUUCGCUCAGGUUAAAGAAUGGAAUACUAGUCUUGCAUCAAAUAUAUUUUACAUAUCCAUUCGAUGUUUAUCACCAGAAGUUAGUUCUACCUUUGCAGUACCUCUGCUCUACAUACCUCCUCGCUGGUUAAAGAAUGGAAUAUAAAUCUCAUAUCAAGUUGGUGUAAAAAUUUAGUUCAAUAAAUUAAGAAUUUGUAAA